RNAcentral lists this microRNA precursor (105 nucleotides) under Marmota monax (woodchuck). Lineage: Eukaryota; Metazoa; Chordata; Mammalia; Rodentia; Sciuridae. The record is from RNAcentral.
AUAGGAUUUACUUAGGGAUCUUAUUAAAAUGUAGAUUCUGACUCAGCAGCUCUCAUGUGGGAAUAGCGACUCUGCAUUUCUGACAAGCUCCCAGGUAAUGCUGUG